This 259-nucleotide ribosomal RNA is filed under the name uncultured prokaryote. RNAcentral describes it as "partial 16S ribosomal RNA". It matches the Rfam family "Bacterial small subunit ribosomal RNA", at positions 524 to 782 of the family's 1533-position model. The record is from RNAcentral.
UACGGAGGAUGCAAGCGUUAUCCGGAUUUAUUGGGUUUAAAGGGUGCGCAGGUGGUUUAAUAAGUCAGUGGUGAAAGUCUGCCGCUUAACGGUAGGAUUGCCAUUGAUACUGUUGGACUUGAAUAUGGAUGAGGUAGGCGGAAUGCGUAGUGUAGCGGUGAAAUGCUUAGAUAUUACACAGAACACCGAUUGCGAAGGCAGCUUACUAAUCCAUGAUUGACGCUGAGGCACGAAAGCGUGGGGAUCAAACAGGAUUAGA